CCCCCUUUUAGCCAAAAGAGAUCGUAAAGAUCUCACUUUUACAAAACCCCCAAUUUCCUUCCCUUAGAUUAGGAAUCUAGGGUGGCCGAAAAUCGCUUCCGCUGCUCUUCCACCUUCAACCACCGUCCACCUACCCAUUGAUCACCGUUGACCACCGGCUGAUAAUCAUCUCCGCCGGCCGGAGUUUAUGAAAUUGCCCCAAACCACAUUUGUUCUUCUCCUCCUCUACACCCUCUCGUUAAGAUCCAGUCCCAAUUCUUACCCAACCACCACCAGAAUCGAAAUCCUAGCCUGUUAUGCCUCUUUUCAAUUUUACUCACAACUGUUGAUCACAUGACCUUGAAGCCUACACCAUCUGAUAGAAUUCACAAAGAUAUAUGUAGUGGUGUUGGUAUUAGGUCAUUUCACGAUCAUCGGCGCCGAUCAACUCAUCGUUGACCGACCAAAAUUCAUGCAAUACCUUCGUCACCACACUCGUUUGACUCCCAUGAGUCUUUCUUCCAAGAAGAUCCAUCAGGAUUCUAAAUCCAAGACGGAUCUCUUGGCGGAAAGACCUUGGAGGUCGAACAAAUCAAUGUCUGCCACCUAUGUUCUUUUCGGGCUCCUCCUAAUCUUAAAUGGUAUAUCCUAAAUCUCCAGUUCUUUUCUUACUUAUCUUGCACUGUUUGAAUGUGAUCUCAUGCGACCAUGUGUUUUCCUGUCAUUCAAUUUGUUUGCACAUUGGGUAUUAGGUUUUCUUUCUAGUUAUGGUUUGUUUGUUCCAAAUUAGUUGAUGAAAUCAAAUUGCAUGUUAAUUGACAAGUCUGGUAAUUUUUUAUCUAAUUGUGUGCAUUUAAGAUAAUUUAAAUUAAGUAGCUUGAUUGAUUAUUAGCAGCGUGAUUAUUGUCUAACUUUUGUUUAUUUAAUCAUAUGUUUACUUGUAGAAUUUAUUUAGUUUGGAAGUUAAGUCAAGUAUUAGAUUUUGAUGGAAGGAUUUGGGAAUUGAAACUAGUAAGUUGGGCCUGUUUUGAACAUCGGGCAGGCCCUGUAAUAAUCAAUUGGGCAUUUUGACCUUCUGGGUCAAACAUGAGGAAGAUCUAAAAUCAUUUUGGCCUAUUAUUGGGAUCAGAUGAUGUAAGAAGUAUAAAGAAAGAGAGUAAAAGGGAGGAGUGAGAAAACAUAAGCUUUUAGAAGGGAAUGAGUAAGCUAAAAUAAAUAAGAGAUGGAUUUCGGGGCUAAUUUAGAAAAAUUACCGAGGUAAUCUUAGAGGAAGCGGCUAGGAAUGAACUUGGGGAAUUUGUUUGGCUAAAGUACAUGGGCUUCCUAGAAUUAAGGUCAGAAGAAGGAAAUGCGGGGGAGAGCGACAGCUGGUAAUAAUUCUAUUGUCCAGAGGGCAUAGAAUCCUCUAGAAAUAAUUAUAGGGGGUUAAAAAGGGAACAAACAAAAAAUAGAAAACCCUAGAGUUAGCCUAUAAAUAUACCCAUUCUCUCAUUUGAGAGGGAGGAACAAGCAUUUUUAGAAGAAGUUCUUUUAUUCUGAAAAAUCCUUAGGAGAAAAAGAGGAACAUCAGUAGUUUUUUUUUCUCUAAAACCCUGCUAUUCUUCUCUGGGUUUUUUGAAGUCGAGUUUCUUGGCUUGAAUUGGAUCAUGUGAGUCUAAAAUCAGGGUUUCAAGAUUUGGAUUCUUGCUGUUGAAGGUGUGUUUUGCUGAACUCCAUCCUUUCUUGCCUUGAUUUGGCACCUCUGGUUUUGCUUGCUCUUGCUCAUUAGGUAAACACAUGGCACUUUGUAGAUAUAUUUAGUUGAAUGAUUAAAAGUAGUUGGUUAACUGAAUUUUCUGCCUGUUUCAUUUAAUUUUAAUCCUAUUUUUAUGACUAUGUGUGUUAUAGCUUUGGAUGAUUUGAAAUGAUAGUUGUUUAGCUCAUUAAAGCAUGCUAUAGAUGUAGUUAAGAUCAAUGAAAAUCAGUCAUUAAAAUAGCAUCAUGUCGAGCUCAAUUGAUUUCUCUCUCUAAUUGAUUUUGCUGUGCUUGUGCUUGAUUUAGUGAGCAUAUGAGUUUCUUUUGGAUGUUCUUUACUCAUUAAAAAUAGUUAUGGUGUUAUUUAGAUGUUGAGAUUGAAUGAGAGUCUACUGGAAUUAGAGUAAUUACUGUGAAGUGGACCUAGGAAGUGUUGGUUCUGAAAUAAAAUCCUAAUUAGCGUUUAACCAAGCUCAAAUAUCCAAGAGUACAAAAAUGGCUACUACUAUAAAUUAUUGAUUUUGAUUAGCUUAGCGUCAAGUACAAAAUGUUAUCUGCAAGUUGUUACACUCCGCAGUAUUACAACGAUGUUAUACUCCGUAGUAUUGUACGUUGGAUUUGUCAUAAAUUGACAUUAGUUUAAGGACAAGAUUAUUUUGAGGUUAUAAGUAUUACGUUAUUUCAAACAAGUGAUAAGUAAAUUCGUGAAGGUGAGAGGGUAAGCAAUUCGAAAAAAAUGAGUUUCGUCGAAGUUUGACAAUUUGGGAUAAAAUGCGGUCCAAACUAUAAUAUCCCGUAUUUAUGGACUAGUGCCAUACAAAGUACCAUAUGACCAUGAUAGUAAAGUGUAUAAAGUGUGUUAAAAGUAAUUAGUAUUUUAAGUAAUUUGAAAUAAUUCUUAAUUAUGUGGAUAAUUGGUAAUUUUUGAUUUUUAGUGGGUGAGUUAACAAGGUAAUUAAUUUUGGUGGAUAAGCUUAAAGGGACAUCACCCUCAACGUAGCAGCAAGGGGACUUAAGCAUCAAUGACUCUUUGGUGUAUAUAAUUAGGUGGCAUAUUUAGAGAUUUUUGGGAAAAAUAAUCCCCAAAAGUGGGCCCCACAAACUUCAAAGAUAAGAGAUAUUCAUACAUCAUUUAAGAGGGAUGUGCAUGUUGGUUAAGUAACGGAUGAAGCCUCCAAAAUAAUUCAUAUGGAACUUCAUAAUACUAUAGCAAUGUAAGAUUUGCGAUUCUAAGGAAAUACGGUGUAAUCUUUCUCAAGAAUAUCAUACGGAUUUUUUCCUAUUCCGAUCUCGCCGUUACUUGUUUCUUCGCGAUUGGCGUGUGUUAGAGUGAUUGUCAAGAGAAUCGGCUCAGGUAUGUUAAGACUAUCCCUUCUUUCCUUUUGGUAUGAUACAUACGAUACAAACGAAAUGAGCAAACGUACAUCUUUCAUAAAUACCUCUAUUCAUAGAAGCACUAGGGGUGCCUAUGUUCUUGAUUUCCCAUGUGUCUUAUUAUAUCUUCUGUUCAUGGGUCUCGAAAAAGAAAUGCGUAAUUGAUAAAGUUUAUCCGAAGACAUAUUGAUCUUAUGACAUUCCGAGAAAUCUUAUUAACUUAUUUCUUAUGCAUUUCAUUCAUUUAUACAUGUGCAUUGACGCAUGACCAGAUGACGUUAUAUAUGCGUAUAUUAUAUGUAUAUGGGAUAUUGAAAAAGGUUACGACAUUAUAUACGCACCACCAACUGAUCAGCUGUUAUACGUUGAUGAUUUUGCCUACAGUGGCCGAGAUGAUAUGAUGGGAUGCCCUCAGAGACUUGAUGAUGUUAUGUACGCAUAUACCUAUGCAUGACAUGACAUUUAUACGCACGUGCAUGGCAUUAUAAAUAUUUCAGGAUUCACAAAGUUAUUUAGACUUAUAGGUGGAAUUCUUUACUCCACGUUUCUUUUAUGUCUUUUAUGUACUUAUUUUCAUGCCUUACAUACUCAGUACUUUUUUUGUACUGACGUCCCUUUUGCCUAGGGACGAUGCGUUUCAUGCCCGCAGGUACCGAUAGACAAGUUGAGAAUCCUCCAAGUAGGCUAUCAAUUCAGUAGAAGGUGUUGGUGCACUUCAUUAGCUCCGGAAUUGCCUAUUUAGUUAGUAUGAUUUGGACAUGUAUGGAUUGGUAUAGCGGGGCCCUAUCUCGACCUUUAUGACAUUUAUGUACUCUUAGAGGCUUGUAGACAUAUGUCAUGUAUAUGGAUACUUGUAUGUCCUUGUAGGCCUAUGGUGUGAGUAUACAAAUGAUCAUGUCGGCCUUAUAGGCCCGUAUGUCAUAUGUAUAAGUCGGUACAUCACGUUGGGUCGUCCUAUGUCGAGUAUUUCCCUCAUGUUUUAUUCUAGUUAUGUCACGACAGCCCUUCCAGCUCAUUUACCUAUGAUAGUAUGAUACGACAGAUACGUUACGUUGGUACUCGGUUGAGUAAGGUACCGGGUGCCCGUCGUGGCCCAUCGGUUUGGAUCGUGACAAAAGUGGUAUCAGAGCAGUUCUGUCCUAGGAAGUCUACAAGUCGUGUCUAUAGAGUCUUAUUUAUGGGUGUGUUGUGUACCACACUUAUAAGCUGGAGGCUACAGGGUAUUUAGGACUGUCACUCUUUCUUCUUACUCUAGAUCGUGUGGUAGAGCUAACUUAUAAGAAUUCAAAUUCCUAAAUUCUAUUUUAUUCGUAGUAAGACGAUACCUACAUCCAAAGGAUAAUUAGUAAGAGGCUGCAUGUGGUUGUGGAAAAGUUGGGUUAGAGAAACUCGAUUUUGCCAUUCUUAUAAUGUAUAAAUGUGAGGUCUUCAGCAGAACAUGUGUAUACUAAGACGUGUAAGCUUCUUGAUAAGGAGUCUUAAGGCAAGAAUAUCUAUCCACCCAUAUGGUGAAAAGCAAUGAGAGAUUCAGAAGGUAGAUACAAGUUUCAACAAGUAAAAGAAUCAAGGUGAGGAAGGGUACGAGGCACCCAGUUAAUGAAAAUUAUCAGUAUUUACAAUUCAGGCAGAGAAAUAUAAGCAUUUUGAGUUAACUUCAAUAGUAACAGAUGUAUGUACAAUCGGCCACACUUAUCUCAGUUAUGCCCUAUGGGAGCUAACAGAUAUAGUUUAAGAGAAGGACGGGACAUCAGGAUCUGGCUGGGGUUAGAGUAACCCAAAAUGGUGGAUGGAUUGUUUACGUUAGUUGACAUUUCCGAAGGAUAUUGCAAAUGUGCUAAUAGAUCUCCUUGUGAGACACCCAGAUGGUGCACUCUAGAAUAGUAUAGCUAGAUAUGCAAAGAUAGGCAUCGAAAGUCGGAAGGGAUAAAUAUUACCUUAGUGUGGCUCCCGUCCCUAGUAGAGAGAGAAUGUUAGGUAACCCAAAGAGGUAGUGGAUGGAGCAAGAGGAGCUAAAAGGAAAAGAAUGUCUUGUUGAAGUUUUCAGAAUAAAGUGAUAGACAGAAAUAUUAGCAGGGAAAUAAGAAAAGAGAUAAUGAAGCAUUAUGAGUAAGAUGUGAUACAUGGAUGACAACGGUAGAUAAAAAAAAUGAUAGUAUUACAGAGUCUAUAGUCAAGUGAAGGAAAAGAUGAGAGGUGACAGGCCUUGAGACAACAAAAGAGUAUAGGCCAUAAUGUCAUAUCCUCAUUUUGAGAAAUAAGUUCGUGACUCCAACGCGACUACCAGAACGAAAAGUUAGACACCAGAGUAAUAGAAAUCAGUAUGAGCUGGUGAACAAGAUAAACUAAACAUGAAUUAAGGACUGAGUGAUUUGAUAAUAGUCGGCAUCAUGAGAAUUUCAGAGAUUGUGUUCCGGCGAUAAUAGAAUGGGCGACAGAAGAAUAACCUUUAAAGGUCAUUCAGGAAGACGCUUCCCUAAAGCAAGCAAUGUGAGCAAAGUUAAGCUUAAGGGACUAUGUGUGCCAGUUACACUAGGUGUCUCCCUCGUGAGUAAGGAAUUUUGUUGUCCUUGGUACAAAAGGAUUUCUGCAAGGCGAGUCAGGGUCAUCGAUGAUGUGAAAAGACGCCAAAGAUGAAGAGGUAAAAUAUCUAUACGUAGAUCAUCGUAGUACUAAAUCUUAGUACUCCCCUAAGGGGAGGGGGGGAUAUGGAGUGAUGUGGCAUUAAGUCAGAGUUAAGUGGUUCUAGAAACUAUGGAAUAAUAAAGGAAGAAUGCGAUAAAAAUGAGAAAGGGAGGAGAUUGCACUUAUUCAAACCCUACAGAUAUGCUACGAUCCCAUAACAUUAUACAAACACGGCGUCAAGGAGAAGAAGUAAGGGUUCCUAUGCGAGAUGUUAUUGAUAAAUAAGGAGCCAGUGCGAGAGGUAAGUUAAGGCAAAGGAAAUAACCCAAGAAAGAUUACGCGGAAUAUUGAUAUGAUAAUGGGCCAAUGAGUAGUUAGUAGUAAUUAAGGAAGAGCCUAAUUAUGGCUAGACAAGAGGAUACAAACAAAUCCACAGAUCGUGCAAGAUAAACAUAGUGAACCCCGACAUAGUUAAUUCAGUCUCGCAGAUAAUGAUAUCGUGAUCCUUAAAAAAUUUUCAAAUAAGAGUUGGGGUAGUUAAAUGCACUAGUUAAGUUUUACGAAAAUAAGAAAGAGUACCACUAAGGAGACAAUCAAAAUCUGAGUUCAGAAGUAAUCCUACGAGCACAAGGGUACAGAGGUAUGUAACUACGAAUAUUUAUAGGCGAGUAAGAACAUCGAAAAUUCCUUCGGGUAUACAAUAUAACGAGCAAUUUUACAAGAGUUAGAGGGUCUUCCCUAAGUACUACAACGAAAGACUAGCUGAGGAAAUAAGGAAGAAGGCUUCAACCUAAGCACAACGACCUAAAGAGGAAAUGGUCUUGUAAUAACAAUCUCACAACAACAUUGUAUGCACUCCAUAAGAAAGUGGCACCUAUCGUGGCUAAUGAACGGGAAGAAGAAAAAAAAUCAGAAGGUGAUAUUCAAGAUCAUAUGGCUUGUAUGGAAUUCCAAUAUGUGUGGGCACUAAGAUAAGCCAAGUAUUCAUGCAACAAGUGGCAGAACGACCAGGAAAAGUAAUUGCUUACAUUUAAAGAAAGUUGAGAAGGAACGAAAGGAAUUAUUUGAUCAAUGAUCCAGAGUUAGUUACGUUAUGAAUGCACUUAAGAUUUCGGAGUAUGGUAGAGAGACAAGGUUUUAGGAAGACAUGAGUAAGGAUAAGAAAAGGUGAGUGAGAAGGUGAUGAGAAUGGAUAAGUACUCGGGAUUAAGCCCAUGAAAACAAGAGCUCUGAUGGUUUCUCUAAGUUAUAGAAAGCUCAGUAUAACCUGAAUGAACUCAAAGGAGUCUAAGACUAGUAGCAUUUAGAAGAGAUGAAAUACUGCCCUGGUAGUAGAAUGAGGGUGUAAUUGUGAUAGAUAAAGGAUGAUGUUGGGCCUUCGAUUGAGUAAUGAUUUGAAGAAAAAAAAGGGAUUUCAUGAAUUAUAUAGGAUUAAAAUACCCCCAUAAGAUGAACCACGUAGGGAUGCCAUGAAAUGCGGUUAUUGAAGUAUAGUAUCGUCCCUAAGUGGAUCAGGAAAAUCACUUCAAAUAUUCCUCGAUGCAACGUGAGCCCUAGUGACAAUAUAUUACGUAAGAGGUUUCAAGUUAUCGGUGGUAGAUUGUAUAUCAAUAUUGAGGUGAAUCAACAAUAGAUGGAUAAAAGUUACAAAGUAUGAGAUGAUAUUAGGCCGUCAUUCUUAAGAUGAACAGUAAUGAGGAAGCAUUAAAGGACUUAGAUUUAUACAUAUAGGAUAAGCAAAGAGAGUAACCUGGAGUUUGGUAGCAGACCUUAGUAACGGUAAAUCGAAGUAAGAAUUAUGGUAUAGUAUGACCUACUUAGAUGUAGUAAAGCCAUAGAUGCCCAUAGGGACAACUUGUCAUAAUUUUGUAUAUGUUCACAAAGUGAGGCCUAGAGAUUGGCUAAAAGCUGGAGGGAAGAGUCGCAUAGGCGCACAUACAAGGAAAAAGUCGCACAGGCUGCAUGACAGAAGGUAGCAAGUGCUAGGAGAUUGGAGGAAUUUCGACCACAGGCUGUGGUGUGAGAAGGAGGCCUAAAGGUGGGAAUGCCCUAGACUUUGGAUUUAUUCACAGAACAGUUCCCUAAAUGGCAAGGAAAGUAUUAAAAUAAUUCGUAAAAGCUAUCCGGUUAUGAGACCGAUAAGUACAUCAGUCAACAUUCGAGGACGAAUAUUCCAAAGGGGGAAAUGAUGUUACACUCCACAGUAUUACAAUGAUGUUGCACCCCGUAGUAUUGUACGUUGGAUUUGUUGUAAAUUGGUAUCAGUUCAAGGAUAAGAUUAUUUUGAGGUUAUAAGUAUUACGCUAUUUCAAACAAGUGAUAAGUAAAUUCGUGAAGGUGAGAGGGUAAGCGAAUCGAAGAAAAUGAGUUUCGUCAAAGUUUGACAAUUUGGGAUAAAAUACGGUCCAAGCUAUAAUACCCUGUAUUUAUGGACUAGUGCCAUACAAGGUACCACAUAACCAUGAUAGUAAGGUGUAUAAAGUUUGUUAAAAGUGAUUAGUAUUUUAAGUAAUUUGAGAUAAUUCUUAAUUAUGUGGAUAAUUGAUAAUUAUUGAUUUUUAGUGGGUGAGUUAACAAGGUAAUUAAUUUUGGUGGAUAAGCUUAAAGGGACAUCACCCUCAACGUUGAAGCAAGGGGACUUAAGCAUCAAUGACUCUUUGGUGUUUAUAAUUAGGUGGCAUAUUUAGAGAUUUUUGGGCAAAAUAAUCCCCAAAAAUGGGGCCCACAAACCUCAAAGAUAAGAGAUUUUCAUACAUCAUUUAAGAGGGAUGUGCAUGUUGGUUAAGUAACGGAUGUAGCCUCCAAAAUAAUUCAUAUGGAACUUCAUAAUGCUAUUGCAAUAUAAGAUUUGUGAUUCUAAGAAAGUACGGUGCAAUCUUUCUCAAGAAUACCAUACAGAUCUUUUCCUAUUUCGAUCUCGCUGUUACGUAUUUCAUCACGAUUGGCAUGUGUUAGAGGGAUUGUCAAGAAAAUCGGCUCAGGUAUGUUAAGGUUAUCUCUUCUUUCCUUUUGGUAUGAUUCGUACGAUACAAACGAAACGAGCAAACGUACAACUUUCAUAAAUACCUCUAUUCAUAAAAGCAAUAGGGGUGCCUAUGUUCUUGAUUUCCCAUGUGUCUUAUUAUAUCUUCUGUUCAUGGGUCUCGAAAAUAAAUGCGUAAUUGAUAAAGUUUAUCCGAAGACAUAUUGAUCUUAUGACAUUCUGAGAAAUCUUAUUAACUUACUUCUUAUGCAUUUUAUUCAUUUAUACUUGUGCAUUGACCCAUGACCAGAUGCCGUUAUAUACGCGUAUAUUAUAUGUAUAUGGGAUAUGGGAAAAGGUUACGGCGUUAUAUACGCAUCACUACCUGAUCAGCUGGUAUACGUUGAUGAUUUUACCCACAGUGGCCGAGAUGAUAUGAUGGGAUGCCCUUAGAGGCUUGAUAAUGUGAUGUACGCAUAUACCUAUGCAUGACAUGACAUUUAUACGCACGUGCAUGAUAUUAUAAAUGUUUCAGGAUUCACAAAGUUGUUUAGACUUACAGGUGGAAUUCUUUACUCUACGUUUCUUUUAUGUCUUUUAUGCACUGAUUUUCAUGCCUUAUAUACUCAGUACUUUAUUUGUACUGACGUCCCUUUUGCCUAGGGACGCUGCGUUUCAUGCCCGCAGGUGCCGAUAGACAACUUGAGAAUCCUCCAAGUAGGCUAUCAACUCAGUAGAAGGUGUUGUUGGUGCACUCCAUUUGCUCCAGAGUUGCCUAUUUGGUUAGUAUAAUUUGGAGAUGUAUGGAUUGGUAUGGCGGGGCCUGUCCCGACCUUUAUGACAUUUAUGUACUCUUAGAGGCUUGUAGACAGAUGUCAUAUAUAUGGAUACUUGUAUGUCCUUGUCGGCCUAUGGUGUGAGUAUACAAAUGAUCAUGUCGGCCUUAUAGGCCCGUAUGUCAUAUGUAUAAGUCGGUACAUCACGUUGGGUCAUCCUAUGUCAAGUAUUUCCCUCAUGUUUUAUUCCAGUUAUCUCACGACAGCCUUUCCGGCUCAUUUACCUAUGAUAGUAUGAUAUGACAGAUACAUUACGUUGAUACUCGAUUGAGUAAGGUACUGGUUACCCGUUGUGGCCCAUCGGUUUGGAUCGUGACACAAGUGCUAAGUUGUAAUCGAUUUUAUUAUUGGUCAUGCUUGUGGUGAUAUUUGUAUGAAUUCAUGCUAAAUUUGCAAUGAGUUGUAAUUAACCUUUGGAAAUCAGUUUAAAAAGGGUUUGGUUUCCAAAGGUCAUUGAGCCCAAGAUGAGGCAUAAGUCAGACGGGCCUGAACUCAUCUGAAUAUGUGAGCCCAUUAGGCUUCACAGUUCAUCAGCGGGCCUAGUUCCCGUACAUUUGGACAUGGACCAAUGCCAUUGCCUAGGCAUAAAGGCUGGUUCAUUUCGACCCAGCAGUCUUUCGAUCAUGGUGGUAGCCUAAUGUCGUCGCUUGUGCAGUGGACUGGGGCCUUCUGUGAUCCAGCAUAUGUCACGACCCAAAUCCCUCUUUAGAAGUCGUGAUGGUACCCGGUCUCCAAACUAAAUAAGCCGGGCACUUAACAUUAUUUAGAAUAAUAAAAGCAUGAUUUAAGGAAAACAGAAUUUAAAAUAAAUGCAGAAAUAGGAGUAAUACAUGCCAAAGCGGCAAUACUCAACAUAACUUCCUAGAACUAGGUGGUACAGAGUCACAAGCUCUAACUAAAUACACGAGAAUAUCUCAAAAAUACGGUACAGUCUGAAAUACAAAUAUUGUAGAAAUGAAAAAAGAGCGUGACUCCGAGGCAUGCAGUACCUUGAAGUCUCUGGUGUAUCAAAUGCCUCACUGCCGAUCAGCUCGAUCCGAAGUACCGGAUCUACACAAAAUAUGCAGAAUCGUAGUAUAAAUACACCACAAUCGGUACCAGUAAGUAUCAAGACUAACCUCGUUAGAGUAGUGACGAGGUUCAAGUCGUUUGAUACUCACUAGACAAAUAACCCGUGUAAUGAAUAUAAUAAAAAAAACUGAUAAUAGAAAUAUAAUGAAAAAUAGUAACAACAACCCCUUUAGAGCAUGCGAUAACAACUCAGAAUUAUAAGCAUAUCUUUGAUCCCAAAACAUCAAAUAGAGGUGAGGCAUGUGAUAACAUGUCAAAUGCAAUCAUUAACUCAAUUAAAGAAAAAACAGAAGCUUUCAGAAAUAAUUAUGAAAUAAAAUUAGCAACCCCGUCUCAACACAACCAUAACAACAAUAAGGACACCUCGAAAUAUCACAUAACAUCAUCAACAAUGAUACCCUUAUUACGCCGCAUGUGCACAUAAAAAUGAAAUGCCACCCUUAUUUCGCCACAUGCAUACAUAGCCACCCUUAUUUCGCCAUGUGGGCAGUCCAAGAUAACGCCACCCUUAUUUCGCCCCAUGCGCACAACAAUAAACACAAUCGCAUGGCAAAAACCUCGUGCUGACACCCCCAAUCAAUCUUCUCAACAUGUCCACAAGUGCCACAACACCUCAAAACCGUAAUACCAAGUGCCACAAUUUUGCAAAUAAUGAUACCAAAGUUCCACCAUGAUGUAAGAUCACAACUUUCAACAACAGUGCACAUGGAUAUAACAAUAAAGCAGAGGGGUAUACAAUUAAUAUAGCUUGACUAUGGUUAAGUCAAUGUAAUGAUCAUGAUAAAAUGAUCAUUAAAGAAUCUCAACAUGUUGCAUAUAAAGUUCACUAUCACAUUAAGGCAUAUUAAUAUCGUAUGGUCUAUUCCGAUCAAACCACACAUAGUACCCAUAUAUAUGCUUGUCACCUCAUGUACACGUCACUUUUACAUCAUAGAAAUCAACAUAACAGGACUAGCCCCUAAGGGGUAUUCCCCCACACAAGGUUAGGCAAGAUACUUACCUCAAAGAAGCUAAAUCAACACUCUAAGAAGCCCUUCCCGCGUGAAACAACCUCCGGACGAAUCGAAUCUAGACAAAAUAACUUAAUAUCAUAAAUAAAAGCCAUAGAAAAUGAUUCAGAAUAAUAAAGUUUCGAUCUUUAACUAAAAACAAAAGUCUACUGAAAAAGUCAAUCCCAGGCUCGCACCCCGGAACCCGACAAAAUUCAUAAAUCCUACACAUAUUCCGAUACGAGUCCAACCAUAUCAAUUACAUCAAAUUCCGACCUCAAAUCGGCUUUCAAAUCAUCAAUUUAUGUUUUAGAAAGUUUUUACUAAAAUUCCCACUUUCUUCAAUUUGAUUCAUCAAAUAAUUGUUAAAUUCAAGGUUGGAAUCAUGAAAUAUAAACAAUUCCGAGUCAAAUAUAUUUAACCCAAUCCAAAUCAUGAAAAUUUCCUCCAAAAUCGUACAAAUCCGAGCUCUAUAACUCAAAAUAUGAUAAAAUAACAAAAGUCCUCGAAAUAGAGUAUUAAAUAAGCCUGCCUAGGUAUACACAUUGUGAACGCGGGAUCCUCAUCGCAUUCGCAAAGACCAAAAAUCAUCUUCCCGAAAAAGGCAUUCGCGUCCGCAUUCACCCCAUCGUGAACGUGAUGAAGAAAAUAUCUAAACCUUCACAAACACGGCUUGGACCUCGCGAACAUGGCUUGGACCUCGCGAACGCAUAGGCGAAACUCCUCCCAGCACCCGGCCACUUUGCGAACACGGAGACCGAUCGCGAACACAAAAAAGGGCGACUGCCCAGCUCCCUCUAACCCUGUGCAAAUGCGACCACCAUGUCGUGAAUGCGAAGAAGGAAACCAGACCUGAAAAAAGUAGCAGUCCAAAAUAAGAUGGAAUUGUCUGAAACCCAUCCUAAACACACCCGAGGCCCCCGGGAUCCCGUCCAAUCACACAAAGCUAUCCAAAAACAUAACAUGAACCUACUCGAGGACUCAAAUCACACCAAAUAACAUCAAAACUACGAAUCACACCUCAUUUCAAGCCUAAUAAACUAAUGAACUUUCAGCAUCUAAAACGCAUGUCGAACUGUGUCAAAUCAAUUCGGAAUGACUUCAAAUUUUGCGUAUAAGUCCCAAAUGACACAACGGAUCUAUACCAACUCUCAGAAGCACAAUCUGAACCCGGUAUCAACAAAGUCAACCCUCGUUCAAACCUAUCAAUCUUCCAAACCUUCAACUUUCAAACUUUCGCCAAGUCAAGCCAAAACAACCUAGGAAUCUCCAAAUCUAAAUCCAGACAUACGAACCUAUUGGAACCAUCAAAAUACCAUUCUGAGGUCAUCUAUACAAAAGUCAAACUUUGGUAAACUCUUACAACUUAAGCCUCCAACUAAGGGACUAAGUGUUCCAAAUCAAUUCAAACUCUCCCGAAACCACACCAAUCAACCCCGCAAGUUACGUAACCAUAAAUACACAUAUGUAAAGCAUCAAAUAGGGGAAACGAGGCUAGAAUACUCAAAACGACCGGCCGGGUCGCUAUAUUCUCUCCCUCUUAAAUACACGUUCAUUCUCGAACGAGUAUAAAGACAUACUUGAAGCAAAAAAAAAAGAAGAGGAUAGUGGCUCCGCAUAUCAUGCUUGGUCUCCCAAGUCACCUCUUUAACCGGUUGACCUCUUCACAGAACCUUCACCGAUGCAAUGUUCUUUGACUUCAACUUCCAGACCUGCUUGUCCAAAAUAGCCACCGGCUCAUCAACAUAGGUCAAAUCCUUGUCUAACUACACUGAGCUGAAAUCUAACACAUGUGACGGAUCACCAUAAUACUUCCGGAGCAUGGAAACAUGAAAGACAGGAUGAACUUCCGAUAAGCUGGGUGGCAAAGCAAGUUUGUAGGCCACCUCACCCACUCUCUCAAGAAUCUCAAAAGGGUCAAUAUACCGAGGGCCCAACUCCCCUUCUUCCCGAAUCUCAUAACACCCUUCAUGGGUGAAACUCUGAGUAAAACCCUCUCACCCACCAUGAAUGCCACAUCACGAGCCCUCAUAUCAGCAUAACUCUUCUGCCUGGACUACGCUGCACGAAGCCGCUCCUGAAUCAACUUCACCUGAUCCAAACCAUCACGGACCAAGUCAGUGCCCAAUAACCUAGCCUCCCUAGGCUAAAACCAAUCAACUGGAGAACGACAUCGCCUCUAAUAUAAGGCCUCGAAUGGAUCCAUCUAGAUGCUCGACUAAUAGCUAUUGUUGUAAGCAAACUCUACGAGUGGUAGAGACUGAUCCCAUAAACCCCGAAAUCGAUAACACAUGUACGUAACAUGUCCUCCAAUAUUUAAAUAGUGCACUCGGACUGUCCGUCCAUUUGGGGAUGAAAUAUCGUACUCAGCUCGACCUGCAUGCCUAACUCUCACUAAAUAGCUCUCCAAAAAUAUUAUUUAGAAUUAAGAAUCGUGAUGACACCUAAUCUCCAAACUAGGUAAGCCGGUCACAUAAUAUUAUUUAGAAAAAGUAUGAUUUAAUGAAAACAAAAUUUAACAUAAAUGCAGAAAUAGGAGUAAUAUAGGCCAAAGUGGCAAUACUCAACUUAACUUUCCUGAACUAGGUGGUACAGAGUCAUAUACACUAAUUGAAUACAAGAAAAUAUCUCAAAUAUAUGGUACAGUCCGAAAUACAUAAACUGUAGAAAUAAAAAUAAGAGGGUGACUUCGAGGCCAGCGAUCAGAUCAUGCAGGGAUAUCUUGAAGUCUCCAGUGUAUCAAGUGUCUCACUGUUGAUCAGCCCAAUCAAAAGUACCUUGAUCUGCAAAACAUAUGCAGAAGCAUAGUAUGAGUACACCACAAUCGAUACCUAGUAAGUAUUAAAACUAACCUUGGUGGAGUAAUGACGAGAAUCAAGUUGUUUGAUACUCACUGGACAAAUAACUUGUGCUAUGAAUAUAUCAAAGAAAACUAAUAACAGAAAUAUAAUGGAAAAAUAGUAACAACAACCCCUUUAGAGCGUGCGAUAACAACUCAUGAUAAUAAGCCCAUCUUUGAUCCCAAAACAUUAAAUAGAGGUGACGCAUGUGAUAACACGUCAAAUGUAGUCCUUAACUCAAUUAAGGGCAAAACAAAACUAUUCAGAAACAAUUAUGAAAUAAAAUUAACAAUCCCUCUCAACACAAUCACAACAAUAAUGAGGACAUCCCGAAAUAUCACAUAAUAUCAUCAACAACGCCACCCUUAUUUCGUCCCACGCGCACAACAAUAAACACAAUCGCACGUCAAAAAUCUCGUGCUGACACCCCCAAUCAAUCUUCUCAACAUGUCCACAAGUGCCACAACACCUCAAAAUCGUAAUACCAAGUGCCACAAUUUCGCAAAUAAUGAUACCAAAGUUCCACCAUGAUGUAAGAUCAUAACUUUGAACAACAGUGCACAUGGAUAUAACAAUAAUCAUAAAAGCAGAGGGGUAUACAAUUAAUAUAGCUUGACUAUGGUAAAGUCAAUGUAAUAAUAUUGAUCAAAUAUUCAUAAAAGAAUCUCAACCUGUUUCAUAUAAAGUUUAUUAUCACAUUAAGGCAUAUUAAUAUCUUACGGUCUAUUCCAGUCAAAACCACACAUAGUACCCGUAUACAGGCUCGUUACCUCAUGUACACGUCACUAUCACAUAAUAGAAAUCAACAUAACAUGACUAGAACCUAAGGGGUAUUCCCCCCUCCCCCUCCCUCUCACAAGGUUAGGUAAGAUACUUACCUCAAGGAAGCUAAAUCAAUACUCUAAGAAGUCCUUCCCGAAACAACCUCUGGGCGGCUCGAAUCUAGCCAAAAUAACUAAACAUCAUAAAUAAAAUGCGUAGGAAACGAUUUCGAAUAAUAAAGUUUCGAUCUUUAACUAAAAUAAAAAUUCAACCCCGGGACUGCACCACGUAACCCGAAAAAACGUACAAAUUUUGAACGCUUAUUCCGAUACGAGUCAAACCAUAUCAAUUACAUCCAAUUCCGGCCUCAAAUUGACCUUCAAAUUAUUAAUUUAUGUUUGAGAAACGUUUUUGCUAAAAUCCCCAAUUUUUUUUAAUUUUAUUCAUCAAAUAAUCGCUUAAACAAGGUUGGAAUCAUGAAAUAUAAACAAAUUCGAGUAAAAACAAUACUUACCUAAUCUAGAUCGUGCAAAUCCCUUCCAAAAUUGCCAAAAUUCGAGCUUUACAACUCAAAAUGUGAUAAAAUAACAAAAGUCCUUGAAAUAUAGUAUUAAAUAGGUCUGACCAAAAAUCAUCUGCUGGAAAAAGGCCUUCGCGUUCGCGUUAGCGUUCGCCCCAUCGCGAACGUGAUGAAGAAAAUACCUAAGCCUUCAUGAGGCCAAACUCCUCCCAGCACCCGGCCAUUUAGUGAAUGCGGAGCUCGAUCGCGAACGCAAAGAAGGGCGACUGCCCAGUCCUCUAUAACCCUCCACGAAUGCGACCGCCAUGUCGCAAACGCGAAGAAGGAUACCAGACCUGAGAAAAUCAGCAAUCCAAAAUAAGGUGGAAUGGUUCGAAACCCAUCCAAAACACACCCGAGGCCCCCGGGACCCCUUCAAAUCACAUCAACCAUUCCUAAAAUAUAACAAUACCCUACUCGAGGCCUUAAAUCACACCAAACAAUAUCAAAACUAUGAAUCGAACCGCAAUUCAAGCUUAAUGAACUAAUAAAAUUUCAACUUCUAAAACUCAUGACGAACCAUGUCAAAUCAACUCGGAAUGACCUCAAAUUUUACAUGCAAGUCCCAAAUGAUAGAACAAACCUAUACUAACUCUCGGAACCAUAAUCCGAACCCGAUAUAAAUAAAGUCAACCCUCGGACAAACUUAUCAUUCUUUCAAACCUUCAACUUUCCAACUUUCGCCAUUUCAAUCCAAAACAACUUAGGAACCUCCAAAUCCAAAUCCGGAUGUACGCCUAAGUUCAAAAUCACUAUACAAAACUAUUGGAACCAUCAAAAAUAUUAUUUUGGGGUCAUCUAUACAAAAAUUAAACUCCGAUCAACUCUUACAACUUAAGCCUCCAACUAAGGGACUAAGUGUCCCAAAUUAAUCCAAAACUCUCCCGAAACCACACCAAUCAACCCCGCAAGUUACGCAAUCAUAUAUAUAUAUNNNNNNNNNNNNNNNNNNNNNNNNNAUGCUAUCAAACAUUGCCAUACACUCCAAAAACGGGAAUAAUUCAAAUCGGCCAACUUUCCAUUUCGAAUAAUUACCUAAUAAAUUUGUGUAAUUCGUAAAACGAUUCGCCCCUUCUCUUAAGUUCAUAAUCCCGUUAAUUGUAUUUGCCAAAAUUCUAUGUGACAAACCUUUAUUGGUAGUUUAGUGGCACCAUAUACCUAUACUAUUGAAACUUCCCACAAUGAAUCUUACACCUUUUCUAUAAUGCAAUAUCCAUAACUUUAUACCUCACAAAAAUCUCAAAUUAGAAAUUACUCAUGACAUGCUAGUUACUCCUAGGCACGUAUAAAUAAUUAAUUAUCAUGAUUAUGAGUAUGAUUUUUGUUACGCCCCAAACAGGGAAGGCAUGGCCGACACCUGGUGCUAUACUUGACCCCGUGAGUACUACUCUGUUACUGUAAACUCUGGGGGUAAUCUUCAACUUAGGAUGACAAGGACUACCUGCCAACAGACAAUGCCAACAAAGGCUGUCGAGGCCAUAUUCUGAAUUAUCUAAAAAUAAUUUCCAUCUCAUCUGAAAGGUAAACAUAUGCAAAAACUCAUAUACAUAACUGUACAGUCCGAUGAGCAUAUACAAGGGACAUCAAGGCUGCUAUACUGACAUACAGACAUACAUAACUUGUCUUUAAGCCUCUAGAGAUAACAAAACUAUAUCAUGGUCAGACCUAUCCAUCAAGUAUGUUUAUACAAAAUGGACUUCAAAGUCUAGACCUGGUAACUUUGGGGGAGUAGAGCUUACCGAUCAAGAUAAUGUCUAGCUCUGUCUGCUAGAAAGGUCUAUCUGGCUUCCCAUUAGAACUUGCAGACAUGAAAUGCAACGUCCCUCUGCAAAAGGGACGUCAUUACAAAAUAAUAUACUGAGUUUGUAAGACAAUAUAAUAACUGAAAGCUGAAACUAAACUGAAGUACAUAGUAAUCUGGAACCCAAAGAAUGCUCUAAGACAUACUCACAUGUUCCGACUCAAAACAAUAUAAUAUAGUAAUGUCAUAGCUAGCUGGCCACAUAUAUGGCUCGAUGUAUCUCUCACUGACCGUAAGGCCAGAAAAAUAUAAAGUCUUACUAACCAUAAGGCCAGGCAAUAAUAUCUAUCAUUGACCAAGUGGCCAGGCAAUAAUUUUUGUCACUGACCAUAAGGCCAGGAAAUAACAAUAUCUCAUUGACCAAGUGGCCAGAGUACAUAAAAUAUAUGUAUACGAUGCUGUAUGUCAUAUGUAUAGUAGAAUGUAUGGAUGUACGUAUGUAACUCUCUAUCUUUGUGCAACAUAAUGAAAUAACAUAAAGAGGAUGGGAACCUCUCUCAAUAAGAUACGAUGGAAGUAUAUGGAAAUAUGUGACACCUAUUGAGACAUAAAAUCUACAAUAUGUGUUCUCAUAUAAGAGUUAUCCAACUCGUACUUACUAUAAAUUCAUACCAAUGAAAGAAAAUGGAUAUCCAUAACAUACCUCUCUUCGUCUAUAUGAACACAAUAGAACAUGUCUCGAAUAGCACCUCAACCUAUAACAAUGACAAUACGUUCGUUAACUUAAAGAAUACUAGUAUACGAUGUAUAUCAAAUGAUAACUCAUUCCUAUAAAGAAUGCAGCAUCAUAUCCCCUUAUUUUAGUACUUUACCCAAGCCUACAUUAGGAAUAAUAAUGACUACAACCAGCAAACAACUCAACACCAAAGUAAUGAGCGACAAGCACGAUCUCAGAUUACUAAACGUCACGUUUCCAACUUCUCUUUUUUUUCUAAAUCGAGCAACACAACCAACAACACAUAACCAGCCCACUUACUACAUAAACCAGCCAUAAAUUUAACAUAGAAUUAAGCUCAUAAUCCGCCAAUCAGUAACGCAACAACAACAACAAUAAACGAUAAAAGGACUUUCGUCAACGAAAAGGAAAACUAGAAUAUAACGUAUUGAGCAACGAGCUCAUCUCAUAGCCACAACCAUAACCGUUUUUCUCCAUAAUCAUAAUAACAAGAGCAAAAACAACAAACCCAAGUUAUUCCCCAUAAUUUUCCAGCCAUAACAUAGCUCAAAAAAUCCCAAAAUAGCCCAACAAUUACAACACAUCAAACGAGGUUUUUACUCCAUUUAUCUUACAAGUUCUUUAACAACAAGAUAGCUCGACUUAGAUAAGAUCAAGAACAAGUAGAAGAAUAAUAAUCUCUCCUUCAAUCAGCAUGAACAUAUCCAACUCAAGCUUACUUCACCAUGAAAAAAUCUUCCAAAACAGCCACUAGAAGAAGAAUAACAAAUCUAUAAACCCCACAAGGUUUUUAGAUAUUGAUUAACUUUGAGAACCUUAGGAUUAGCUAUUGAACUAUUUGAGAACCUUUAGAGAGAGUUUUAGGGUGUAUAGAAACUAAUAUGAAAGAAAAAUGAGGUCUCCAAGUCGUUCUACCACUUUAUACAUCUUGAGAAUUUUCCACCGCCUAAGUGGGUCCCAAAGGGGCUGCCUGUGCAGUCUCGCAAAAAUGCAAAUAUCUCUCUACUACAACUUUUUAUUGAUAAAAGGUUUAAUGCAUUGGAACCUAGACUCGUAUGCCUUCAAUUUGGUGGUUGUAUCACAACGUAACUCUGCGUAUAUUGGGAGAAAAAUUCGGUGACAUUUGACCCAAAUUUUAGUACAAUUAUGAGCGUAACUUGCAAUAACUUUUGCCAACUUUUAUUUUACAACUUGUCUGAUAUCAAAACUCAACAUACAAAUUUUAUAUAAUUAAAGUACCUUAAAACACAACCUUCUUAGCAUAUUAAGCACUCCUAAUUUUAACCCAAAGUACGAGUUAUAAUAUCUUUGAUUCGUUUAGCUUCCAACCCUCACAAUACUUCCUUAACACAUGUUUUAACUCAUCAUUAUAUUUAUAGAGGUCCUUAAACUCUCCGUCUUAUAUUGAUUCAUUUAAGACGCAUUCUAACUUUGUUACCUUAUUCUAAAAACUUCAACAAAAUAUUCUUUCGCUUUUAGCUCUCCUUGCUCCAUCUCACUGGCUCUUUGGGUGGCCUAACAUUUCUUUUUACUAGGGACAGGAGUCAUACUAAAGUAAAUAUUUAUCCCUUCUAGGAUUUCAGUGCCUAUCUUCUGAAUUUUCUGAAUAUUCUAGUAUUCAUAUCUGACUCUACAAUUUUAGAAUGCACCACCUGGGUGUCUCACAAGGGUGACUAUUAUCACGUUUGCAAUAUCGUUCGAAAAUAUCAGCUAAUGCAAAUAAUCCAUCUACCAUUUUGGAUUACUCUAACCCCGCUGGAUUCUAAUUUUCAUCCUUCUCUUAAACUAUAUAUGUUAGCUCCCAUAAGGCAUAACUGAGAUGGGUAUGUCCAAUUAUACAUACCAUUAUUACUGUUAAAAGUAAACUCAGAAUGCUUAUAUUUGUUUGCCUGAAUUGUAAAUACUGAUAAUCUUCACUAACUGGGUACCUCGUACCCUUCUUCACCUUGAUUCAUUUACCUGUUAAAACUUAUACUUUUACCUUUUGAUACUCCCAUGGCAUGCUAUUCGUGGGGUGUGUUAGAUAUCCCCAUCUUAGGGUCUUAAGUAUAAAAUUUGCACAACAAGUAUGCACGAUCUGAUAGGGCCUCAAACUAGGCCACGAUGUCAAGGAACUCUCUCUCUUCUAGUGCCCUUAGCUAUUGUUGUAUUAGCCCUCUGGCUAGCUGUAAUUUUUCUAAUUGCAAGCAUCUCUCUAUCAUUAGCAAACCUAAGACCUGACUCAAAAACUCUUAUGGCUCAGAUCUAUAGCACGAUUGGGAUUUGAAAGAAGGGUAAGAGACUCCUAAAUGCCUUGUAGCUUCCUAUUUAUAUAAUGUGGUGAACAAUACAUCUAUAAUCAAGCCUACAGUAGACAUGGCUUGUAGACUCCCUAGGUCAGACUGUAAGGCACCGUAAAAUUUUCACAAAGGAAAUUAAGGUUUCGUGGUGCUGAACUAGGCUUACAUGUUUGAGGCUCAGACUUUUUUUGGGUUGAACAAUACGCUGGGGAGUAAAGGAAAACUUUCAGUAGAAAAAGAUAUUUAUGUGGCCCACUAUGUGACCGUAGAAUCACUCUUCGGACCGCAUAAUGGCGGCAGAGUAAAUCAGAGGCGGGGCAAGAAUGGAGGAAGGUCUGCGGUACACUAUGCGAUCGCAGACCAGUUAUGCGGUGCAUUAUGCGACCACAUAAUAGGUAUGCGGGCCGCAUAAUCACCGCAUACCCAACCAGACGACCCCAAUUUUGGAGCAUCAAUUAUGCGACCGAUAUGCGGGCCGCAUAAUGGUUCUGCGGUACGGUCUGCGAUCGUAGACCCGGUUUCGACAAUUUUAAGUUUUGGAAAUUUUACCCGCCUAUUUUUAUAAAAAGGCAUUGGGGGUCAUAUUUAAGGGUUUCAUCUGACAUUUUUAGAGAGAGGUGAGAGUAUCUUAGAGAGAGAAAGAGAAGACCUAGUCAUUUAUUCAUCAAUUCUUGCUCAAGGCUUGAAGAUUUCACAAGGAUCUUGCUAGGAUUCAAAGAGGUAAGAAUUUCUUCCCCCAAUUCUUCAAUUUCGAGUUUGGGUAUGAUAUGGGUAAUUUGGGAGUAUGAGUUUUGGAUAUGGGAAUUGUUAUUUAUCAUAUGCAUGGGCUAGUAGGGAUUAUGGGGAAGUUGUUGAACAAUCUUUGGUGAUUUUGGUGUUGAAUUAGUUGUGGAGUGAAGGAAAUCUUGUGGAUGAACUUUGUAGUGUAAUUUGCACACCUAGUGUUUGAUAAAAUGCUCAAGUGAGCUGGAACUAUGAAUUCCUUCCUAAUUUGUGUUCAAUUUUGGUUUAUGUCUAAAUAGAUUAAAUGGCUAAGAUUUUCAGAACAUUGUAGUAAAUUAAAAGGCUCGAAGUAAGGUAUGUUGGCUAAACUCCUCUCUUAGAAUUGAAUCUCAUGUUAUUCAUAUAAUUUAUAUAAGUCCCGAGUUGUUCAUUAUAAAUUUGGCUAUUCCGAAUAAGCUUGUGUUGAAAGAUAUAUGUUCAAUAUGUAUACCAAAUGCUUUUAUCGUGUUAUGUCAUCAUUUGAGAACAUGUUCAAAGUAUGGACUGUGCAUUUAAGAUGUUUCGACUUCAAGUCAAGUUCAAACGAAUGCUAUUAUGCCAAAUUUUGUGAAAAGUCUCUAUGUGUCUAAGACUCUUAAUUGCUCACAUGUGUGCUAAAAACCUUGAUUUGUAAUGCUUUGUUGUUGUUGAUGAUGUUGAUGUUUGAAAGUGAAAAAGGUAAGCAUGAAAUACUAAAUACAGCCGAUGUGCCAAGAAUAAUUUUAUAAUUGUGGCCACUAGUGCCAAUGAAAUAAAAAGAUGUGAAAGAGGUAUGAAACGAAUGAUUGGUAUAAAAGAAUGAUGUCUUGAAUGAGACGGCAUAGUCGAUCGGGUCGUGAUCGGAUGUCAUGCCGCGCAUAUGGUGGUGAUUGUGCUUGAAAUUAUAAUUUUGGUUGAUGUCUCGAAUGAGACUGCCUAGCCGAUCGGGUCAUGAUCGGACUCCGUGCUAAAAGUACGGUGGUAUUGAUAUUGUGAAAGGUGACAUUAUUGGUACUAAAAAUCUCCCAACUUAAGAUAUGGAAAUUAAUUUGAACACUAUCUUGAUACUAAUUUGAGGUUUGAUGUUGUUUGAGGCUUCCAUUGAUAUUAUGAUUAUUCUUGCUCGUAUUAUUUAUCAUUCUAUUGAGAGGGUGUUUUGUUAUUCAUACUAGUACUAUUCCAUAUGUACUAACAUCCCUUUUGUCGGGGGUGCUGCAUCUUCAAUGGAUGCAGGUGGUUCCACAGUAGGAGACAUUAAUCAUUGAUAGCGGUACAUCCUCUUCCCAGCAGACUUGGUGAGCCCCACUUUAUUUCGGGGUCAUGUAUCUUUUGUUCCUUGUGUAUUGUGUUUGAGAUAUAGGUGGGGCCUUAUUGCCGGCA
RNAcentral lists this long non-coding RNA (22605 nucleotides) under Nicotiana tabacum (common tobacco). Its description in RNAcentral is "long non-coding RNA (NTAB_LNC003639)". The record is from RNAcentral. Lineage: Eukaryota; Viridiplantae; Streptophyta; Magnoliopsida; Solanales; Solanaceae.